UGCUCAACAGCUAGCCCACCCCCCCCCCAAAGAUCAAAUAUAAAUACAAGCAAAUAACUUGAAUGCCAAAACCAAACCAUUUUUCCCCUCUAGUAUGGGCGACAGAAAAAG
Molecule: ribosomal RNA, 111 nt
Filed under: Metavelifer multiradiatus
Lineage: Eukaryota; Metazoa; Chordata; Actinopteri; Lampriformes; Veliferidae
Description: partial 16S rRNA
Source: RNAcentral